CAACUCGCCUACAUGAAGUCGGAAUCGCUAGUAAUCGCGGAUCAGCAUGCCGCGGUGAAUACGUUCCCGGGCCUUGUACACACCGCCCGUCACACCAUGGGAGUCGGUAACACCCGAAGCCUGUAGUCUAACCGCAAGGAGGACGCAGUCGAAGGUGGGAUUGAUGACUGGGGUGAAGUCGUAACAAGGUAAC
RNAcentral lists this ribosomal RNA (193 nucleotides) under uncultured bacterium. Its description in RNAcentral is "partial 16S ribosomal RNA". It matches the Rfam family "Bacterial small subunit ribosomal RNA", at positions 1308 to 1500 of the family's 1533-position model. The record is from RNAcentral.